GGAGGAGUAGCGAAGUGGUCAUAACGCGACGCACUCGAAAUGCGUUUGAUGGAUUACCGUCACGGAGGUUCGAAUCCUCUCUCCUCCGCCA
RNAcentral lists this transfer RNA (91 nucleotides) under Eubacteriales Family XIII. Incertae Sedis bacterium. RNAcentral's name for it is "tRNA-Ser". It matches the Rfam family "tRNA". Rfam says of the family: Transfer RNA (tRNA) molecules are approximately 80 nucleotides in length. Their secondary structure includes four short double-helical elements and three loops (D, anti-codon, and T loops). Lineage: Bacteria; Bacillati; Bacillota; Clostridia; Peptostreptococcales; Anaerovoracaceae. The record is from RNAcentral.